Molecule: unclassified non-coding RNA, 172 nt
Filed under: fungal sp.
Lineage: Eukaryota; Fungi
Description: partial contains small subunit ribosomal RNA, internal transcribed spacer 1, and 5.8S ribosomal RNA
Rfam family: Eukaryotic small subunit ribosomal RNA (bases 1-46)
Source: RNAcentral
AAGUCGUAACAAGGUUUCCGUAGGUGAACCUGCGGAAGGAUCAUUAAAAUAUUGAUAAAACACUGCUUUUGGAACUAAACACAUAAAACCUUUUUUUUUUUUUCUUCUUCAAGUUUCACUUUUGUGAAAAAUUAAAAAAUAAAAACUUUCAACAACGGAUCUCUUGGUUCUC